Rhincodon typus (whale shark) is the source of this 542-nucleotide long non-coding RNA. RefSeq lists it as uncharacterized. NCBI's taxonomy places the organism in Eukaryota, Metazoa, Chordata, Chondrichthyes, Orectolobiformes, Rhincodontidae. The record is from RefSeq and is a predicted model, not a curated record. The transcript is spliced from 5 exons.
CGAGAGGGUGAUCGCGUGCAGCGACGGUUAUUGUGCUGAGCGUGCGGACAGUUUUAUUUAUUGACCUGGAAUGGAGGGCAGGGGAGAUACUACCGAGUGACAGGAGCUUGGGACAGCUACAUUUAACUGAAUCAGAGCUUGGGUAUGAUUUGGUAAAAUUCUUAUUUGGGCCAGAACAUUCAGAACAAUUAUGCCUCUUUUCUCCAUUAAGAAAGAUUUCUUUUGUAUGUAGAUUGUGACUAAUAACAGAGAGGAAAAUGAGUCGAUUUAUGAUGGAACUACCACUAAUUGGGAUUCUUUCAUCCAGUGGACAUCAAAUGUGCCUUCUGCGCUGCUGGUUCAGGGUUGGUCAUACCAGCAGAAGAAAUGUAAAAAGUAUUUUUGUAAGGAGGUACAGCUUUCUUCCAGGUGAUAUUAAGUCAUUGCGCACCAUUAUCAGUCCGGAUAUCUCGAAGUAAGUCACUCAAUCAGCAACGGAUAUGUUAGCUAAUGUAAUGGCAAAUUGCUGUCGAAGCUGGAAACCUGAAACAAGCAAUGAGGGA